UACGGAAGGCAGCAGUGGGGAAUAUUGCACAAUGGGCGCAAGCCUGAUGCAGCCAUGCCGCGUGUAUGAAGAAGGCCUUCGGGUUGUAAAGUACUUUCAAUCGUGAGGAAGGUGUUAAGGUUAAUAACCUUAGCAAUUGACGUUAGCGACAGAAGAAGCACCGGCUAACUCCGUGCCAGCAGCCGCGGUAAUACGGAGGGUGCGAGCGUUAAUCGGAAUUACUGGGCGUAAAGGGCACGCAGGCGGUUAAUUAAGUUGGAUGUGAAAUCCCCGGGCUUAACCUGGGAAUGGCAUUCAAGACUGGUUAGCUAGAGUCUUGUAGAGGGGGUAGAAUUCCAUGUGUAGCGGUGAAAUGCGUAGAGAUGUGGAGGAAUACCGGUGGCGAAGGCGGCCCCUGGACAAAGACUGACGCUCAUGUGCGAAAGCGUGGGGAGCAAACAGGGAUUAGAUACC
RNAcentral lists this ribosomal RNA (453 nucleotides) under uncultured bacterium. Its description in RNAcentral is "bacterial SSU rRNA". It matches the Rfam family "Bacterial small subunit ribosomal RNA", at positions 340 to 786 of the family's 1533-position model. The record is from RNAcentral.